AAUGGGCGCAAGCCUGACGGAGCAAGACCGCGUGAGGGAAGAAGGUCUGUGGAUUGUAAACCUCUUUUGAUAGGGAAGAAGACAGUGACGGUACCUAUCGAAUCAGCCUCGGCUAACUCCGUGCCAGCAGCCGCGGUAAUACGGAGGAGGCAAGCGUUAUCCGGAAUUAUUGGGCGUAAAGAGUCCGUAGGUGGGUAACCAAGUCAGCUGUUAAAUAGUGAAGCUUAACUUCAUAGAGGCGGCUGAAACUGGUUGUCUAGAGUGUGGUAGGGGUAGAGGGAAUUUCCAGUGUAGCGGUGAAAUGCGUAGAUAUUGGAAAGAACACCGGUGGCGAAAGCGCUCUACUGGGCCUGCACUGACACUGAGGGACGAAAGCUAGGGGAGCGAAAGGGAUUAG
RNAcentral lists this ribosomal RNA (397 nucleotides) under uncultured cyanobacterium. RNAcentral's name for it is "bacterial SSU rRNA". It matches the Rfam family "Bacterial small subunit ribosomal RNA", at positions 370 to 781 of the family's 1533-position model. The record is from RNAcentral. Lineage: Bacteria; Bacillati; Cyanobacteriota.